GAUGAAGAACGCAGCGAAAUGCGAUAAGUAAUGUGAAUUGCAGAAUUCAGUGAAUCAUCGAAUCUUUGAACGCACCUUGCACCCUUUGGACUGCUCCAAAGGGUAUGCUCGUUUGAGUGUCAUUGUACUCUCACACUCUCUGAUCCUUUGGAUUUGGGGAGCAGUGGACUUGGGUGCUUGCAGCUUCCUUGUGGCUCACCUGAAAUGCAUCAGUGCAUCUCUCGAUUGGACAUAGUACGGCGUGAUAAGUGUCUUCGCCGGCACCUCAUAUGAGGGUGGCCGAUCGGGAGCUCUGUGCUUUCAAACCGUCUUCGGACAACGCUGACAACUUGACCUCAAAUCGAGUAGGACUACCCGCUGAACUUAAGCAUAUCAAUAAGCGGAGG
This 386-nucleotide unclassified non-coding RNA is filed under the name soil metagenome. RNAcentral's name for it is "partial contains 5.8S ribosomal RNA, internal transcribed spacer 2, and large subunit ribosomal RNA". The stretch from base 1 to 122 matches the Rfam family "5.8S ribosomal RNA", at positions 35 to 154 of the family's 154-position model. The record is from RNAcentral.